UUCUCUUUUCUCUGCAGCCUUGCCGGCAUCUGUUGGUUUUUGACUUUUCGUUAGUUGCCAUUCUGACUGAUGCGAGAUGGUAUCUCAUUGUGGUUUUGAUUUGCAUUUCUCUGAUGAUUAGUGAUGUUGAGCAUUUUUUCAUGUUUGUUGGCCACUUGUCCAUCUUCUUUUGAGAAGUGUCUGUUCAUGUCUUUUGCCCAUUUUUUUUUUUGAAACAGGGUCUCACUGUGUCACCCAGGGUGGAGUGUAGUGGCAUAAUCUUGGCUCACUGUAGCCUUGACCUCCUGGGCUGAAGCAGUCCUUCUAUCUCAGCCUCCUGAGUAGCUAGGACUAAAGGUGCACACCACCAUACUCAGCUAAUUUUGUUUAUAGUUUGUAGAGAUGAAGUCUCAUUAUAUUGCCCUGGCCGGUCUCAAACUCUGGGCUCCAGCUCUCUUCCUGCUUCGGCCUUCCAAAUUGCGAGAUCACAGGCAUGAGCCACGGCACCUGGCCUACCUUUGUUGAUUUUUAAACUUUUCAGAUCUAUUAGUUUUUGCCUUGUGUAUUUUGAAGCCAUCUUGUUUGGUGGAUAUACACUUAUUAUUGUUAUAUCUUCUUGGUGGAUUGAGCUUUUUAUAAUUUUGCAGUAGCCCUCCUUGGCUCUAGUGAUUUUUUUUUGCUUUGAAAUUUAUUUUAUCUGAUAUUGUUAUAGCCACUUCUGCUUUUUAAAAAUAAAUACUUGCAUGAUAUAUCUUUUUCCAUAUUUUUAUUUUCAAUCUAUACAUGUCAUUAUGUGUGAAAAGAAGUUUUUAUAGAUAUGUAUAGUUGGGUUGCAUUUUAAAAUUUACUGUGCCAAUCUCUCUUUUAAACGAUGUGUCUGUACCAUUUAUGUGUGUAGUUGUUGAUAUAUCAAGUCUGCUUUUUUCCUCAUUUUUUAUUUCCUUUCUUUCUCAUUUUUCUAUUUCUUUUUCUUGCCUUUCUGUGGAUUACUUGGAUAUUUUUUAGAGCUGCAUUUUUAUUUAUUUAUAAGUUUUUGAAACAUAUAGCUUCGUAUAGUUUUCUUAGUGGUUGGCCUAGGUAUUACUAUUUUUCUUAGUGGUUCCCCUGGUAUUACUUUAUACAUACUUAGUUUAUCAUAGCUUACUUUUUUACAUUUUUCAACUUUGAAUUAAGUAUAGAAAACUUUACUUCCAUUUAGGUCCUUUUACCCUCUCUUCUUUUUAAUUAUAAUUGUUUUAAGUAUUUCCCAUACAUACUUUGAGUAACAGAAGAGAUGGUUGCUUUUUCCAUAAAAUAUUAUUAAAGAAUUGUAUGUUAGCGAUAGUCUGUUAUGUGUACUUGUAUUUUUCCCCAUUCUGUUAUUAUUCUUUCCUUUCUGAAGAUCUCAGAUUUAUCAUUUUCUUUGUGUUAAGAGAGCUUCCUGAAGCCAUUCUUUCAUGGGACAUCUGGUAGUAUCAAAUUUUCUUAGUUUUCCUUUGUCCAGAAUGUCUUUUUUCACUCCUCAUUCCUGAAUGAUAGUUUGGCCAGAUACAGGAAAUGGGAUUAACAGUUACUUUCUUUCAGCACUUGAAAGAGAAAAGCCUGGCCAAGAUGGCAAGAUCCUGUUUCUACAGAAAAAAAAUUAAAAAUUAGCCAGGCCCAUGGUGGUGUGCGCCUGUAGUCCCAGCUACUUGGGAAGUUGAGGUGGGAGGAUUCCUUGAGCCCAGGAGUUCAAGGCGGCAGUGAGCUAUGAUUGUGCCUCUGUGCUUCAGCCACAUUUGGAGAAUGUGGCUCCAAAUGCCUAUCUCAGCCAGCAGUCUUAUGCACAAAUAUAAUAGGCAAGACUACCACCUCCAUUUUUACUAGAGGGAAGUGUAAUUUUUUUUUUCUUCAGACCAAAAUUUUUCCUCUAGAAUAUUCUUUUAACAGUGAAUUCUGUUAAGGGAAAGAGAAGACAAGAUUGUUGGGAUUUGGUAAAUUCUCACUCACUAAAAGAUGAAUUAAGCCCUAGCCUUUACAUAUAUGUUUUAGUUGAACAGAAGUGUAAAAUUAAUUUGUAGUAAUUGCACAAGCAUUCCAGAAGAUUGGCUUGAUACCUUAGUGGUCUUUUAAAGUCAGCUAUCAGAAGAACAUGAUGCGUAUUUGAUUUUAAAAAAUCUUUCGAGUCUUUAUUAGAGUUGAUUUUGUUUUCAUUAGUAAUCCUUUGAAAAUUUGCCAUAAGCAAGUCCUGCAAGCCCCAUACAUUUUUCGCACCAUCAAAAGCCUUCUCGGGAUUACCCCAAGAGUACUUAGAUUCACUGUGGUGUUUGUGAAGCCCCUUUGCAAAAUUAUGAGAGUAAGAGAACUCUGACAUAGUUGACUCCAUUUUGCUUCUAACUUCCAAGCUAUCUUUGAUCAUUCCUAGGUGUAGGCCAAGCUAAUUUUGGAUGGAAUUUAGUUUAUAGUUUAACCUUAAAGCAAGGAUGAUAAUAGUUCUUUCCCAAAUUAAACUGUCUUUUUAAAACUAAUGAAAGACUGCAAGGUUAGGAUUAUGAGAGGGGCCUGCAUUGUGCUAAAAUGUAGGUGUAGUUAAACAACAACCAGCCAUUGAUCCGGAUAUUAAAAGAUUUGUGACUUACCCAAUUAUUUCUCUAAAAUCCCUACUCUAGAACCUAAGAUUGGCCUUUUGAGAUGUUUUUCAGACUUCUGCAUUUCUGACUGUUGGGUGACUCCACCUGGACCCUCGACUCCUGACUCAACUGGUCCUGUGGCCUCCACCCGGAGGCAGACUCAGCACACAAGGAACAUUUUCCACACCGCUAUGAUUUCAUCCCCAGUCAGUCAACAUUCCUCAUUCCCUAGCCCCUUGCCUACUAAACUAUUCUUGAAAAACCCUAAUCUCUGAGGCUUCAGAGAGACUGAUUUGAGUGAUAGCUCUGUCUUCUGUGUGGCUGGCCUCCCGUUAAUUAAACUUUACUUAAUGCAA
Molecule: small RNA, 2923 nt
Filed under: Pan troglodytes (chimpanzee)
Lineage: Eukaryota; Metazoa; Chordata; Mammalia; Primates; Hominidae
Description: sense intronic
Source: RNAcentral